GAUGAACGCUGGCGGCGUGCUUAACACAUGCAAGUCGAACGAAGCACUUUAUUUGAUUUCCUUCGGGACUGAUUAUUUUGUGACUGAGUGGCGGACGGGUGAGUAACGCGUGGGUAACCUGCCUUGUACAGGGGGAUAACAGUUGGAAACGGCUGCUAAUACCGCAUAAGCGCACAGCAUCGCAUGAUGCAGUGUGAAAAACUCCGGUGGGAUAAGAUGGACCCGCGUUGGAUUAGCUAGUUGGUGAGGUAACGGCCCACCAAGGCAACGAUCCAUAGCCGACCUGAGAGGGUGACCGGCCACAUUGGGACUGAGACACGGCCCAAACUCCUACGGGAGGCAGCAGUGGGGAAUAUUGCACAAUGGGCGAAAGCCUGAUGCAGCGACGCCGCGUGAGCGAAGAAGUAUUUCGGUAUGUAAAGCUCUAUCAGCAGGGAAGAUAAUGACGGUACCUGACUAAGAAGCACCGGCUAAAUACGUGCCAGCCGCCGCGGUAA
This 497-nucleotide ribosomal RNA is filed under the name uncultured bacterium. Its description in RNAcentral is "partial 16S ribosomal RNA". It matches the Rfam family "Bacterial small subunit ribosomal RNA", at positions 28 to 523 of the family's 1533-position model. The record is from RNAcentral.